CUAGUAGCUGGUUCCCUCCGAAGUUUCCCUCAGGAUAGCUGGAGCCCGUGCGCGAGUUCUAUCGGGUAAAGCCAAUGAUUAGAGGCAUCGGGGGCGCAAUGCCCUCGACCUAUUCUCAAACUUUAAAUAGGUAGGACGGCGCGGCUGCUCUGCUGAGCCGCGCCACGGACUCGAGAGCUCCAAGUGGGCCAUUUUUGGUAAGCAGAACUGGCGAUGCGGGAUGAACCGGAAGCCGGGUUACGGUGCCCGACUACCCGCUAACCCAGAACCCACAAAGGGUGUUGAUCGAUUAAGACAGCAGGACGGUGGUCAUGGAAGUCGAAAUCUGCUAAGGAGUGUGUAACAACUCACAUGCCAAAUCAACUAGCCCCGAAAAUGGAUGGCGUUGAAGCACGCGACCCACACCCUGCCAUAGGGGCGAGCACCAGGCCCCGAUGAGUAGGAGGGCGCGGCAGCCGCCGCAAAGCCCGGGGCGCGAGCCCGGGGGAAGCAGCCAUCGGUGCGGAUCUUGGUGGUAGUAGCAAAUAUUCAAAUGAGAACAUUGAAGGCCGAAGAGGGAAAACGUUCUAUGUGAACGGCACUUUCACAUGGGUUAGCCGAUCUUAAGGGACGGGGGAGGCACGUCAGAGAGCAAGCGAGCUUUGAAAGGGAACCGGGUUAAAAUUCCCGAGCCAGGACGUGGCGGCUGACGGCGACGUUAGGGAGUCCGGAGACGCCGGUGGGGGCCCAGGGGAGAGUUAUCAUUUCUGCUUAACGGCCCGCCCACCCUGGAAACGGCUCAGCCCAAGGUAGGGUCCAGCGGCCGAAAGAGCGCCGCAAAUCGCAAGGCGUCCGGCGCGCCCCGGCGGCCUGUGAAA
This 857-nucleotide ribosomal RNA is filed under the name Dioscorea nipponica. RNAcentral describes it as "eukaryotic LSU rRNA". It matches the Rfam family "Eukaryotic large subunit ribosomal RNA", at positions 944 to 1810 of the family's 3401-position model. Lineage: Eukaryota; Viridiplantae; Streptophyta; Magnoliopsida; Dioscoreales; Dioscoreaceae. The record is from RNAcentral.